Molecule: ribosomal RNA, 332 nt
Filed under: uncultured bacterium
Lineage: Bacteria
Description: bacterial SSU rRNA
Rfam family: Bacterial small subunit ribosomal RNA
Source: RNAcentral
AGUGUAGGCGGGAUCGUAAGUUAGGAGUUUAAUGCAUGGGCUUAACCCAUGACCUGCUUUUAAUACUGCGGUUCUUGAGUAUGGGAGAGGGCGAUGGAAUUCCAGGUGUAGCGGUGGAAUGCGUAGAUAUCUGGAAGAACACCAGUAGCGAAGGCGGUCGCCUGGCCCAAUACUGACGCUGAUGCUCGAAAGCUAGGGGAGCAAACAGGAUUAGAUACCCUGGUAGUCCUAGCCGUAAACGAUGGACACUAGUUGCUGGAGGAGUCAAUUCUUUCAGUGACGAAGCUAACGCAUUAAGUGUCCCGCCUGGGGAGUACGCUCGCAAGGGUGAA